AGCCGCAUUGGUUGGAUUGGGAAACUCAUCAAGUAAACUGAAAUACCGAGACAAGCUUUGCUUUUCAAUGGCGGGCCACAAUCCUUCGGGAUACUUUUUAGUCAGUGGAUUACAAAGAGGGUGAGCACUCAAAUCAUGUCAUUCGGAGUUUCAUCACAUCAUCGAUGCGGCUUUAUUA
Small RNA from Bacteroides graminisolvens, 178 nucleotides. It matches the Rfam family "Bacteroidales-1 6S-Bacteroidales RNA suggested". NCBI's taxonomy places the organism in Bacteria, Pseudomonadati, Bacteroidota, Bacteroidia, Bacteroidales, Bacteroidaceae. The record is from Rfam.